CAUAACCGUAGGUCUCGCCGGGUC
RNAcentral lists this non-coding RNA (24 nucleotides) under Arabidopsis thaliana (thale cress). The record is from RNAcentral. Lineage: Eukaryota; Viridiplantae; Streptophyta; Magnoliopsida; Brassicales; Brassicaceae.